GCUCCGGUGGUCUAGUGGUUAGAGCGUCCGCCUCGGAUGUGGGAGGUCGUGGGUUGGAGACCCAGCCUAGUCCU
Non-coding RNA from Potamilus streckersoni, 74 nucleotides. Lineage: Eukaryota; Metazoa; Mollusca; Bivalvia; Unionida; Unionidae. The record is from the annotation of a GenBank genome assembly.